AUGUAGAUGCUUCUGCACAUGUUGAACAAAUGAUUACCAUACAUGAACAAACGAAACAGAACAUUGCUGCUACUAAUACAAAAAAUCAGGUUGCUGGUAGUAAAGGAAGAAAACAUGUUACUUUUGAACCUGGUGAUAUGGUUUGGUUGCAUUUGAGAAAGGAUCGUUUUCCUACUUUGCGCCGUUCUAAAUUGAUGCCUCGUGCUGCUGGUCCUUUUAAGAUACUAACCAAGAUUAAUGAUAAUGCUUAUACCCUCGACCUACCUGCGGAGUUUGGUGUUUCCACUAGUUUUAAUGUUGCAGAUUUGAAACCGUAUGCGGGAGAAGAUGAGGAGUUGCCGUCGAGGACGACUUCAGUUCAAGAAGGGGAGGAUGAUGCGGACAUCAACACCAACACGAGCACAUCUACACCAGCAGCACCUUCUCCAGCCCAGGCGCCACCCCUUCCACCUGGGCCAGUGACUCGGGCCCGUGCAAGAGAAUUGAACUACAUCAUGUUGUUAAAGAACGAAGGCCCGGAAGAAUAGACGACCAGCCCAAUUGCGGCCCAUAAUGGACGACCUAGGGUUGGCCGCCCCUAGGGGCUGCGCCCCCUCUCUAUUUAUUCAGGAGCUGCGCCUCCUUUAUUUCCCGAGUUUUGUUUUACGUUAGCCUUAGCUACUCUCGAACACGCGCAAAUCUGCGCUGUCUUCGUGUAUUCAGAACUCCACCCUCGAGUAAUAGAUUAGAUUGCUCGCAUCUUGUUCUUGUUCGUUCUUCGAUUGCGCACAGGAAACGAUCUUCGUGAUCAGGCCGAUCUCGCAUCAGCAAGGUCGGUAACCACAGGGAGUUGGUUCAGCGAUUGCAUUGGCGCCUCGGGCUUGCUCGUCGUAGUCGGAUCGCAAGGGUCAUCUUCCGCCAAAUCGGAAUUAUCUCUACUCGCCGAAAGAUCGGGCACCUCAGCUACAUCACUUGUCGAGGUGGGCCCGACGGUCGCGGUGAUGGUGCUCGUUGCCGAGGCGACCCGGGGCCGCAGGCGCUGUGUUGCGCGUGCGCCCGGUGUAGACCGAGGCUUCCCGCAUGAAUCGGGAAGUCACGGAUGUCCCGAGGGGUACCCCUGCCUUCGGGAGGCAGAGCCCUCAGCCCGCCGGACCACGGCGCCUUCCAGGAGAUUCUUGAGCUCUCCCUGGAUUCGCCGCCCCUCGGUGGUUGAUGGCUCCGGCAUCGCGCGGAGGAGCAUUGCUGCUGCAGCCGGGUUCUGGCCGACCCCACUGGAUGCAGGUGGCGGCCUGACCCUGACAUCGUCGGCGAUGCGGUGCUGGAAGCCCUGGGGUAGAUGACGUAUUUCUCCGGCCGGAGGUUGGCCCGCCCAUGCCUGCCCGACGUCCCGGCGGAUUGGCUCAAGCGCUCCUGCUCCCUCAUCGAGCCUGGCUUGCACCCCGCGGAUUUGCUCGAGCUGUGGGUCGUGACCCCCCGCCGGAACGGGGACCACAGCUAGCUCCCGUGGGAUGUCAAUGCGAGGCACCGGCCUAGGGAGAUCACCGUCCUCCGGCAUGCCGAGAUGGUUGCCUUCGGAGGGACCCCCUAGAUCGACGUGGAAACAUUCACGGCUUGGGCCGCAGUCCUUGUCGCCGAGGCUGCGGCUACCGACGGAACAGUCGGAAAGGCAGUAGUCGCAUGCGGUCAUAAAGUCCCGCAUGGCACUGGGGUUGCCAAGUCCGGAGAAAUCCCAACAAAAGCUGGGCCCGUCGUCUUCCUCGGACCCAGAGGGCCCGUAGGUCGAGACGUCCGUCAGCCGGUCCCAAGGUGACCGCAUACGAAACCCCAGAGGGUUCGGUCUCGCCUCUACGAGAGCGUCCGCCAGGGCGAAGCCGCUAGGCGGGUCGAGGCUGAAUCCGAAAGGCAUGGGAUGGGAAUCGGUUGGUACCUCUUGGUCGAUGGGCGGUGAUGAAGUCGCGUCGGGGACUGACUGCACCGUCAUCUCAGGUACGAGGGUGACACCCAGCAAGCCUUCCGCGAGCGUGCUGGCGUCGUCCGUUUUCUCGGAAUUGGCAUGUCGCGGGGAGACGGCGCUCGCCUUCGUCUCAAACGCGAGGUCGAUGCCCGACGCGCCCUCCGUUGGGGCGCUGGGGCCGUUGACUCGCUCGACAGCCGACGAGGCGCUGCCUCCCGCUUGGCCUUGGUUGCCCCGCCUCCUCCGUUGGCGGGGGAGAGGACGGGGCGAGCUCGAAUGUUGUUCUUCCACCACGCGGGGAAGACGUCGUCGAUUCCGCCGUCGGCGGGCGGGCUGUCGGCCGCCAUUGUCGCUGUCGCACGGCGGUGGAAGGAGUAUCAUGUCGUAGCUGCCGUCGAGGGACACAAACUCAAGAUUCCCGAAACAGAGCACCGUCCCGGGUUGGAGAGGUUGCUGGAGACUGCCCAUCUGGAGCUUGACGGGAAGCUGUUCGUCAACACGCAGUAGGCCCCUACCUGGCGCGCUAACUGUCGGCGUUUCGAGACCAGGGGGUCCCUAAGCCGACGAGUGAAUGUCGCCGCGUGCCCCAGCCCAGAUGGGUCGACCGGGGCCGAGCGCGAAGGGGGAAGCGAGGCGGCCGGAGACAGGCGUGAGAGAGGUGGGAAUCCCGCGGCCUUCGUGUUCGUCCCGCGCCCAGGUCGGGUGCGCUUGCAGUAGGGGGUUACAAGCGCCCACGCGGGAGAGGGAGCGAGCGGCUUCAAGCGAGCGCCUGUCUCGUCCUCGUCCCCCGCGCGGCCAACCCUCUCUAAGAGGGCCCUGGUCCUUCCUUUUAUAGGCGUAAGGAGAGGAUCCAGGUGUACAAUGGGGGGUGUAGCAGAGUGCUACGUGUCUAGCGGAGGAGAGCUAGCGCCCUAAGUACACGCCAUCGUGGCGGCCGGAGAGAUUUUGGCGCCCGGUUUGUGUGAUGUUGUGGCCGUCGGAGGAGCGCUGGAGCCUGGCGGAGGGACAGCUGUCGGGGCUAUCGAGUCCUUGCUGACGUCCUCUUGCUUCCGUAAGGGGGCCGAGAGCCGCCAUCGUCAGGGAGCGUGCGGGGCGCCAUCAUUGCCUAUCUGGCGGAGCGAGCCAGAUGGGACGCCGGUCUUGUUCCCCGUAGCCUGAGUCAGCUUGGAGUAGGGUAAUGAUGGCGCCUCCCGUUGACGUGGCCGGCCCGCGCCCUAGGUUGGGCGAUGUGGAGGCUCCUCCGAGGUCGAGGUCGAGUCCGUCUUCCGUGGCCGAGGUCGAGUCCGACCCCCUAGGUCGGGCGAGGCGGAGGUCGUUGGCUGAGGCCAGGGCGGAGUUCGAGUCCUGGGGUCGGGCGAAGCGGAGUUCGUCGUCUUCUGGGGCUGAGCCCAAGUCCGAGCCCUGGGCCGGGCGGAACGGAGCUCGCCGUCUUCCGGGGCUUAGCCCGAGUCCGAGCCCUGGGUCAGGCGGAGAGGAGUUCGCCGUCUUCCGGGGCUUAGCCCGAGUCCGAGCCCUGGGUCGGGCGGAGCGGAGUUCGCCGUCUUCUGGGGCUGAGCCCAAGUCCGAGCCCUGGGUCGGGCGGAACGGAGUUCGCCGUCUUCCGGGGCUUAGCCCGAGUCCGAGCCCUGGGUCGGGCGGAGAGGAGUUCGCCGUCUUGCGGGGCUUAGCCCGAGUCCGAGCCCUGGGUCGGGCGGAGUGGAGUUCGCCGUCUUCUGGGGCUUAGCCCGAGUCCGAGCCCUGGGUCGGGCGGAGAGGAGUUCGCCGUCUUCUAGGGCUUAGCCCGAGUCCGAGCCCUGGGUCAGGCGGAGCGGAAUUUCAUAUGGUGUCUGCGGCCGGGCCUGACUGCCUGUCAGCCUCACUCUGUCAAGUGGCACCGCAGUCGGAGCGACGCAGGCGGCGCUGUCUUUCUGUCAGACCGGUCAGUGGAGCGGUGAAGUGACGGCGGUCACUUCGGCUCUGUCGGCUGAGGGGCGUGCAUCAGGAUAAAGGUGUCAGGCCACCUUUGCCUUAAAUGCUCCUGCGAUUUGGUCGGUCGGUGCGGCGAUUUGGUUAGGGUUGCUUCUUGGCGAAGACAGGGCCUCGGGCGAGCCGGAAAUACGUUAGCCGCUGGAGGGGGCCUCGGGCGAGGCGGAGAUCCUCCGGGGUCGGCUGCCCUUGUCCGAGGCUAGGCUCGGGCGAGGCGUGAUCGUGUCCCUCGAAUGGACCGAUCCCUGACUUAAUCGCACCCAUCAGGCCUUUGCAGCUUUAUGCUGAUGGGGGUUACCAGCUGAGAAUUAGGAGCCUUGAGGGUACCCCUAAUUAUGGUCCCCGACAAGUAUAAACUGUGACCAAAUUAGUGUGAAUUGCAUCAUGAGGUUUGGGCUGUAAUGGAAAUUUUUGCAGGUACACUAACUAAACACUAGGAAAGUGCAACUAGUGAUCAAUGAUGGAGUGAGUAGGUAUGCCACUGCCAUAGAACAUGAUAGACACUAUAUGUUGGCAAGAUGUGUGAGGACGAAUAGGUCGAGCAUGCAUCAUGACAUACAACUUUAAGUUAAACCCCCUGUAUAACCGUUUAGUGCGUGUUUCGUCCACCCUGUCCAUGCUACCUGCCUUUACUUUUCCAUGCUACCUGCCUUUACUUUCCCAUGCUACCUUUCCUAUUCGGGAAGACUAGAAGCUAAGUUUCAUUUUGUUCGCAGAAUGAGGACUCGUUCUGGAAAGGAUCAUGGUGCUGGUGCUUCCCAAAGGAAUAUCGAGGCACCCAAUCCAUCUCCGACCUCAACUUUGGAUGAUGUUGUGGCUCAGCUUGUGAAUGUGAGCACUGUUCUUCAGCAAAUAGCCCAGCCUACAACAUCAAAUCAGUAUGGUCAUCAUGAUUCUGGUGCUGCUAUCCUCUAUAAAGAGUUUCUCAACACGCAACCACCAGUGUUCUCUAAAGCGGAAGAUCCAUUGGAGGCAGAAGAUCGGCUUUGUACCAUUGAGCAGAAGUUGGGACUCAUCUGUUGUGGUGACGUUCAGAAAACUCAAUGUGCGGCACAACAACUCCAAGGUCAAGCUGGGCCUGGUGGGCUGAAUACCUUACACUGCAGCCAGAGGGACAUCAAAUUACUUGGGCUGAGUUUCGUGAGGUAUUUCGGACGCAUUAUAUUCUGAAAACCCUGAUGGAAAUUAAAUUCAAUGAGUUCUUAGAUUUGAAGCAAGGCGAAGAAGAGAGUGUAAUGGAAUAUUUUGAAAGGUUUCCUCGCCUAUCCCAGUAUGUCUUGGAUUUUGUAAAUACCAAUGAGAAGAAAAAGUUCUACUUCCUACAUGGCCUCAACAAGAAGCUUCAGGGCUUGAUGGCAACCAGUUUGGCUGAAAGAUAUAAUGAGGUGGUCAGUCAAGUUGUUUUGGGUGAUAACAAGAUUUGACUUCAUCAGGAGUCUAAAAGAAAGAAAAUUGCAGAAGAAUUCUCUGGUAAAAUCAAACAGUGCCGGAGGGUUGUUUAUCAAUCUGUUUAUUAUCCUCGUUCUUCUCCACCCCAGCUGUCUAGCUCACCUCAGUCUUGUGAAAAACAGGUUGUCAUUCCUUUCAUUCCACAUGAGCCGGAUGUCCCAGACAUUCGUUCUAAAGAUAUUUCAGACAAUGUUAAUUCAUGUGAGAAUUGUGGUAAGUCAGGACACUCUACACAAGAUUGUCGCUUUCCUAAGCUAGUGAAUGAGCGGUUGUCGCUUGUGAAUCUCCCUCGAGGUAACCAGCAAAAAGCAAGGAAGAAUGACAUUGUCCUUAAACUGGGUCAAGUUCUUUAUACUAAGAUCAAAGCUAUUCCUUAGGGUGAACCGGUUAUGGUGGGUACUUUCUCGGUCGCCAAUCAUUUAGCUAGUAUCCUAUUUGAUUCUGAUGCUUCACAUACCUUCAUAAAUUGUACAUUUGUAUUAAAACACCAGUUGUCUUUGGAGGUGGUAGAGAAUGGGUAUUGUAUACAAUCUCCUGGAGGAUGCUUGCAUACUAAAGAAAUGGUAUAUCAGAUACCCAUAAAGCUAGGUGGUCACAUGUUUCCUACCAACAUGCUAGUUCUUCCAAAUCAAGAUAUAGAUGUUAUCCUUGGCAUGAAUUGGCUUAGUCAACAUGGGGCGGUAAUCAACGCUCUACAACGGACAAUAUAAUUGGAUUCGCCUAACGGUAACUACAAGUUGCUGAUCCGAUUAUCGACACCCAAGAGAGCAGUGGAAAGAGUGUGUGCUAUCACCGUUAAAGAGGUAAAGGAUAUACCUGUUGUGAAGGAAUUUCCAGAUGUGUUUCCUGAAGAUUUGCCUGGAUUGCCUCCAGAAAGGGACGUGGAAUUCAUGAUUGAAUUGCAGCAGGGUACUGCACCCAUAUCUAGAAGAUCAUACAGAAUGGCACCUAAGGAGUUAGCAGAACUGAAGACUCAAUUGCAGGACUUGCUCAACAAAGGGUUCAUUCGCCCAAGUUCAUCACCUUGGGGCUGUCCUGCCAUCUUUGUGAAAAAGAAGGAUCAAACACUCCGGUUAUGUGUUGAUUACCGGCCACUUAACGAGGUGACCAUCAAAAACAAAUAUCCUCUCCCUCGUAUUGAUUUGUUGUUUGAUCAACUUUCUGGAGCUAAAGUGUUUUCUAAGAUUGACCUUAGAUUGGGUUAUCACCAGAUAAGAAUUCGUCAUGAAGAUGUUCCCAAGACUGCUUUCACUACCCAAUAUGGUCUCUAUGAAUAUUUGGUUAUGUCCUUUUGUCUAACCAAUGCUCCAGCUCAUUUCAUGUACUUAAUGAACUCGGUGUUCAUGCCCGAGCUUGACAAGUUUGUGGUGGUCUUUAUUGAUGACAUCUUGAUAUACUCGAAGACCAAAGAAGAUCAUGCAGAGCACUUGCGUAUCGUUUUGACAAGAUUACGAGAACACCAACUUUAUGCCAAAUUUAGCAAGUGUGAAUUCUGGUUGGAUACAAUUCCGUUCUUGGGUCAUAUUUUGUCUGAUGAAGGUGUUGCGGUCGACCCAAGUAAAGUCAAGGACAUUCUGGAAUGGAAGCCACCCACCACAGUGCAUCAAGUUCAAAGUUUCCUUGGAAUGGCAGGGUAUUACCAUUGUUUUAUUCCAGAUUUCUCCAAGAUAGCUAAGCCUAUUACUGAGUUGCUCAAGAAUCAUAUCAAAUUUGUGUGGUCAUCUGAGUGCAACAAAGCUUUUGAAGAACUAAAGAAGUUUUUGACUACCGCACCAGUAUUGGCAUAGCCUGAUAUUGAGAAAUCCUUUGAUGUUUAUUGUGAUGCUUCGGGCAUUGGCAUAGGGUGUGUACUUAUGCAAGAAGGCCAGGUGAUUGCCUAUGCAUCUCAGCAACUCAAGCGUCAUGAAGAGCAUUACCCAACCCAUGAUCUUGAAUUGGCUACUGUUGUUCAUGCACUCAAGAUCUGGCGCCAUUAUUUGUUGGGUAAUAUGUGUCACAUAUAUACUGAUCAUAAAAGUCUAAAGUACAUUUUUACACAGUCUGAACCGAAUCUGAGGCAAAGAAGAUGGCUUGAGUCGAUCAAGGACUAUGAUUUAGAAGUCCAUUACCAUCCUGGCAAAGCUAAUGUCGUGGCAGAUGCUCUAAGCCAGAAACCUCAAUGUAAUUGUCUUUCGGUGAGGCCUUUAACUGUCACCCUAAGUCAGGAAAUGGAAAGGUUGAAUUUGGGGAUAAUUCAGCAUGGUACCUUAGCAAAUCUUGUUCUUGAAUCAACUAUCCAAAGCCAAAUCAUUGAGGCUUAAAAGGUGAAUAAGGGUAUAGCUCAUAUCAAGGAACGAGUUGAAGCAGGAAACGCAACAUGUUUUAGAAUCGACGAAAAUGGUGUCCUUUGGUUCAAACACCAUUUGGUAGUUCCAAAGGUAUCUGAAUUACGAUAACAAAUACUAGAUGAAGCUCAUUUGUCUCGGUAUUCCAUUCACCUAGGAAGCAAUAAGAUGUAUCAUCAUCUGAAGCAAAGGUUUUGGUGGACCAAGAUGAAGAUAGAAAUUGCUCGGUAUGUGGCUAAAUGUGACAUUUGUCAACGUGUGAAAGCCGUUCAUUUGAAAUCUGCCGGGUCGUUACAACCUUUGCCCAUUCCAGCCUGGAAAUGGGAAGAUAUCAGCAUGGACUUCAUUGUUGGUUUACCCAAAACAUCAAAAGGGUAUGAUUCUAUCUGGUUGAUUGUGGAUCGUCUCACCAAGUUGGCUCAUUUCCUGCUAGUAAACAAAAGCAACUCAGUACUUGCAUAUGCUAAGUUGUAUAUCGCUCGUAUUUUGAGCUUGCAUGGUAUACCCAAGACCAUUGUGUCGGGUCGGGGUCCGCAAUUUGUUGCCAAGUUUUGGGCGGAAUUGCACAAAUCUUUGGGUACCAAGCUAAUUCACAGUUCAGCUUAUCAUCAGCAAAUCAGUGGUCAAACUGAGAGGGUGAAUCAGAUCCUGGAAGAUAUGUUAAGAGCGUGUGUUCUCGCUUACUCUGCUAAGUGGGAUGAAUGCUUGCCAUUGGCUGAGUUCUCGUAUAAUAAUAGUUAUCAAGAAAGUAUAAAGAUGGCACCUUUUGAAGCGUUAUAUGGUCGAAGGUGUAGAACUCCUCUGAAUUGGUCCGAACCAGGUGAAAGGUGUUUCUUUGGGCCUGAUUUGGUAAAAGAAGCAAAAGAAAAGGUCAAGUUGAUUCAACAUCACUUGAAGAUAGCUCAACAUCGUCAAAAUAGUUAUGCCGAUAAGAGACGUCGAUCUUUGAUUUUCCACGUUGGUGAUCAUGUGUAUUUAAAAGUGUCACCAAUGAAGGGCAUGGCUCGAUUUGGUGUCAAAGGGAAACUUGCACCUCGCUAUGUUGGUCCAUUUCCAGUGCUUGAACGUUGUGGACAUGUGGCUUAUAAGGUGCAAUUGCCAGAGAAUCUUUCAACAGUGCAUAACGUGUUUCACGUAUCCCAGUUGAAGAAAUGUCUUCGAGUCCCCGAGCAAGUAGUUGAGGUUUCAGAUGUUAACCUUGAACCUGAUCUAACUUACUUUGAGUAUCCUAUUCGGGUUCUAGAUCAAAAAGAUCGGGUCACACGAAGAAAGAUUAUCAAGUUCUACAAAAUACAAUGGAACCAACACUCCGAAGAUGAGGCUACUUGGGAAUCAGAAGACUAUCUUAUGGAGCAUUUUCCUCAGUUUUUAGAUUCCUGUAAAUAUUAAGCCUUGUGUAUUUUGUAUUUGAUGUAAACCCAUAGGGGCACACCCCUUCCUUGUAAGAACAAAGGUAGAAUAAGAUCAUGACGUGUUUCCUAUCCAUUACUUAGCCUGGAGUGUUAAUCUCGAGACGAUAUUCCUUUUUAGGGGGAAAGGAUGUGACACCCCUGGUGUUACGAGAACUAAAACUUUGACAUGUCAUCAUAUGCAUUAGCAUCAUCUUGUUUGAUACACCUAUAAUACAUUUUACUAGGUCCAAAAUUUCAAUUGAAACCCUAAACUAGCCCGAAAAGUGGAAUUUAAAAUCUAGUGAGAAGUUGUCAAAAGUCCAUAUACCAAAGUGGUAAAGCUUGGAAAGUUGAACAACUUCCAUGUGUGGAGAUGACCAAGUUUUAUAGGAAAACUUGAAGUAAACUGCAAAAAUUCAGUUUUGGUGCAAUUUGGGAUUUGCUGAAAAUAAUGUCAAUUAACUAACUUUGGAGCUCUCUACUGCUCUAUCCAUAGAGUUAUACAUUAUGGUUACUAUGAAAAACCUGUAGCAUGAACAUAGGAGAACAUACUGUAUUAGGUGGGAUGCCCCUAAAACCAUAUGCAGCUUGGAGUAAAAGUGGCUCAAAGUAGAGCUGUUUGAAUUCUGAGUUUUCGGAUUUAGCCCAAGUCUGAAAUCAGUAUUUUAGUGCUUAGUUUGGAGCUCUGUUGUGAUUAAUCUAUAUGGUUUUGGACUGAAUUUCCUGUAGCAAGUUUGAAGACCAUAUGUUGGUGUGAAAGUUUGGUUAAAGGUCAUACCCAUAAAGCUACUUGGAACUUGGAGAAAAGGUGGUCUAAAGUGGAGCUGACAGAAUUGGAUUUCAGACUUAGUGCAGCUUACUAAAUCUGAAUUUUAGUGUUUUUGGUGCAACUUUGGAGCUUCUUUGUGACUGGUACAUGGAGUUCUGGGGUAUAUCUCUGCAGCAAAGUUGAAGACCAUAUAAUGGUGAUCAAAUCUUCUUAAGAAAAUUUUGUUUGGUGCUGCACAAAAAAUGGAGUAAACUGUGCCCAAACAUUCUUUGUCAGGCAUAUGUGUUCAGUUUCUUGUUCAGUUAGCUGUAGCUGAAUUCUAGUGUUUUUACCCAACUUCGGGGCACUAUAACUCUUGAUCUGUGAGUAUUUAGCUUAGGGCUUCUACAGAAAACUUGUAGAGUUUGGUGUUGUGAACAUGUUUUGUGAACCAAGGUUGGCUUGUUGUUACUAAGAACUGGGAGAAAGAUUGCUUGUAGCUGUGCUGUCAGACUAGGAUUUCAGCAAUAGGUUCAGUAAACUGAAUCUGAAAUUCAGUGUUUUUCAUUGGGUUUUUAAGCUCCCCUAUACCUAGUCCAUGGAGAUUCGAGCUGUAUAGCAAAGAGUUAAAGGGUAUAUUGGAGAGCAAUUUGUAUUUAGGUCAUUUCUUUGGUAUCAUUUGGAAUCAUGUGAUGCAAGGAGUGGAAGAUGUGGGUUCAGUCUGGUGUCGAAUUCAGUUUAGAAUCUGAAGUUUGAUUCAGUUCACUAAAGAAUUUAGAAAGCAGCAGGUUCUUCUCAAUUUUGGACCUCUUUAGUUUCUAAAUUUUCGAACUUUUGGUGGGUAAUCAUUAUAUCAAACCUGAAGAUCUGUUGUUGAGAAACAAUUUCGGUUAAGAAGGAUUUCCCUGUCCUUAUUUCGAUCUAGGAAAAACUUUGCUCGAAGUUGAGCUAUCCGACAUGUUCGGCACUGAACUGGGAUGUGGGCUGAUGGGAGCCAUGCUCAACCUGAAUGUGGACAUCAAACUAGUUCCUGUGUGCGGUGUAAGACAACGAAUGCAGGGGAAAGGUGUCUAACCGGCAGCCGGCAGGGACGAAGCGCAGAAGCCCGACCACGGAGAGUGGGUCGUCCGCGGCGGAUUCAUUCACCGGCAAGAAAUUCGCCGAGCCCUGGCCGCCCACGCCCCCGAAGUUCCAUGCGGAGACGUCUGAAAACCCUUGACAAAGCUUCCCCGAGCGCAUCUUUUUUCCCUAAGUCGGCGGCAAUC
This 11075-nucleotide long non-coding RNA is filed under the name Zea mays. RNAcentral's name for it is "long non-coding RNA (ZMAY_LNC003719)". The record is from RNAcentral. Lineage: Eukaryota; Viridiplantae; Streptophyta; Magnoliopsida; Poales; Poaceae.